UCGGGAAUUUUGGGCAAUGGGCGAAAGCCUGACCCAGCAACGCCGCGUGAGGGAUGAAGUAUUUCGGUAUGUAAACCUCGAAAGAAUGGGAAGAAUAAAUGACGGUACCAUUUAUAAGCUCCGGCUAACUACGUGCCAGCAGCCGCGGUAAUACGUAGGGAGCAAGUGUUGUUCGGAUUUACUGGGCGUAAAGGGCGCGCAGGCGGCGCGGUAAGUCACUUGUGAAAUCUCUGAGCUUAACUCAGAACGGCCAAGUGAUACUGCUGUGCUAGAGUGCGGAAGAGGCAACCGGAAUUCUUGGUGUAGCGGUGAAAUGCGUAGAUAUCAAGAGGAACACCUGAGGCGAAGGCGGGUUGCUGGGCCGACACUGACGCUGAUGCGCGAAAGCCAGGGGAGCAAACG
This 402-nucleotide ribosomal RNA is filed under the name uncultured bacterium. RNAcentral describes it as "bacterial SSU rRNA". It matches the Rfam family "Bacterial small subunit ribosomal RNA", at positions 355 to 774 of the family's 1533-position model. The record is from RNAcentral.